RNAcentral lists this non-coding RNA (43 nucleotides) under Schistosoma mansoni. Lineage: Eukaryota; Metazoa; Platyhelminthes; Trematoda; Strigeidida; Schistosomatidae. The record is from RNAcentral.
AUCCAGCUGAUGAGUCCCAAAUAGGACGAAACGCGUGUUGGAU